CGGGACACGUGGUAUCCUGUCUGAAUAUGGGGGGACCAUCCUCCAAGGCUAAAUACUCCUGACUGACCGAUAGUGAACCAGUACCGUGAGGGAAAGGCGAAAAGAACCCCGGCGAGGGGAGUGAAAAAGAACCUGAAACCGUGUACGUACAAGCAGUGGGAGCACGCUUAGGCGUGUGACUGCGUACCUUUUGUAUAAUGGGUCAGCGACUUAUAUUCUGUAGCAAGGUUAACCGAAUAGGGGAGCCGAAGGGAAACCGAGUCUUAACUGGGCGUUAAGUUGCAGGGUAUAGACCCGAAACCCGGUGAUCUAGCCAUGGGCAGGUUGAAGGUUGGGUAACACUAACUGGAGGACCGAACCGACUAAUGUUGAAAAAUUAGCGGAUGACUUGUGGCUGGGGGUGAAAGGCCAAUCAAACCGGGAGAUAGCUGGUUCUCCCCGAAAGCUAUUUAGGUAGCGCCUCGUGAAUUCAUCUCCGGGGGUAGAGCACUGUUUCGGCAAGGGGGUCAUCCCGACUUACCAACCCGAUGCAAACUGCGAAUACCGGAGAAUGUUAUCACGGGAGACACACGGCGGGUGCUAACGUCCGUCGUGAAGAGGGAAACAACCCAGACCGCCAGCUAAGGUCCCAAAGUCAUGGUUAAGUGGGAAACGAUGUGGGAAGGCCCAGACAGCCAGGAUGUUGGCUUAGAAGCAGCCAUCAUUUAAAGAAAGCGUAAUAGCUCACUGGUCGAGUCGGCCUGCGCGGAAGAUGUAACGGGGCUAAACCAUGCACCGAAGCUGCGGCAGCGACGCUGAUGCGUUGUUGGGUAGGGGAGCGUUCUGUAAGCCUGUGAAGGUGUGCUGUGAGGCAUGCUGGAGGUAUCAGAAGUGCGAAUGCUGACAUAAGUAACGAUAAAGCGGGUGAAAAGCCCGCUCGCCGGAAGACCAAGGGUUCCUGUCCAACGUUAAUCGGGGCAGGGUGAGUCGACCCCUAAGGCGAGGCCGAAAGGCGUAGUCGAUGGGAAACAGGUUAAUAUUCCUGUACUUGGUGUUACUGCGAAGGGGGGACGGAGAAGGCUAUGUUGGCCGGGCGACGGUUGUCCCGGUUUAAGCGUGUAGGCUGGUUUUCCAGGCAAAUCCGGAAAAUCAAGGCUGAGGCGUGAUGACGAGGCACUACGGUGCUGAAGCAACAAAUGCCCUGCUUCCAGGAAAAGCCUCUAAGCAUCAGGUAACAUCAAAUCGUACCCCAAACCGACACAGGUGGUCAGGUAGAGAAUACCAAGGCGCUUGAGAGAACUCGGGUGAAGGAACUAGGCAAAAUGGUGCCGUAACUUCGGGAGAAGGCACGCUGAUAUGUAGGUGAAGCGACUUGCUCGUGGAGCUGAAAUCAGUCGAAGAUACCAGCUGGCUGCAACUGUUUAUUAAAAACACAGCACUGUGCAAACACGAAAGUGGACGUAUACGGUGUGACGCCUGCCCGGUGCCGGAAGGUUAAUUGAUGGGGUCAGCGCAAGCGAAGCUCUUGAUCGAAGCCCCGGUAAACGGCGGCCGUAACUAUAACGGUCCUAAGGUAGCGAAAUUCCUUGUCGGGUAAGUUCCGACCUGCACGAAUGGCGUAAUGAUGGCCAGGCUGUCUCCACCCGAGACUCAGUGAAAUUGAACUCGCUGUGAAGAUGCAGUGUACCCGCGGCAAGACGGAAAGACCCCGUGAACCUUUACUAUAGCUUGACACUGAACAUUGAGCCUUGAUGUGUAGGAUAGGUGGGAGGCUUUGAAGUGUGGACGCCAGUCUGCAUGGAGCCGGCCUUGAAAUACCACCCUUUAAUGUUUGAUGUUCUAACGUUGACCCGUGAUCCGGGUUGCGGACAGUGUCUGGUGGGUAGUUUGACUGGGGCGGUCUCCUCCUAAAGAGUAACGGAGGAGCACGAAGGUUGGCUAAUCCUGGUCGGACAUCAGGAGGUUAGUGCAAUGGCAUAAGCCAGCUUGACUGCGAGCGUGACGGCGCGAGCAGGUGCGAAAGCAGGUCAUAGUGAUCCGGUGGUUCUGAAUGGAAGGGCCAUCGCUCAACGGAUAAAAGGUACUCCGGGGAUAACAGGCUGAUACCGCCCAAGAGUUCAUAUCGACGGCGGUGUUUGGCACCUCGAUGUCGGCUCAUCACAUCCUGGGGCUGAAGUAGGUCCCAAGGGUAUGGCUGUUCGCCAUUUAAAGUGGUACGCGAGCUGGGUUUAGAACGUCGUGAGACAGUUCGGUCCCUAUCUGCCGUGGGCGCUGGAGAACUGAGGGGGGCUGCUCCUAGUACGAGAGGACCGGAGUGGACGCAUCACUGGUGUUCGGG
This 2317-nucleotide ribosomal RNA is filed under the name Escherichia coli. RNAcentral's name for it is "partial 23S ribosomal RNA". It matches the Rfam family "Bacterial large subunit ribosomal RNA", at positions 418 to 2720 of the family's 2925-position model. The record is from RNAcentral. Lineage: Bacteria; Pseudomonadati; Pseudomonadota; Gammaproteobacteria; Enterobacterales; Enterobacteriaceae.